UACGGGGGGAGCAAGCGUUGUUCGGAUUUACUGGGCGUAAAGGGCGCGUAGGCGGCCUCCGCAAGUCAGUUGUGAAAUCUCCGAGCUUAACUCGGAAAGGUCAACUGAUACUGCGGGGCUAGAGUGCGGAAGGGGCAACUGGAAUUCUUGGUGUAGCGGUGAAAUGCGUAGAUAUCAAGAGGAACACCUGCGGCGAAGGCGCUCUGCUGGACCAUAACUGACACUCAGGGACGAAAGCUAGGGGAGCGAAUGGG
This 254-nucleotide ribosomal RNA is filed under the name uncultured bacterium. RNAcentral's name for it is "partial 16S ribosomal RNA". It matches the Rfam family "Bacterial small subunit ribosomal RNA", at positions 524 to 776 of the family's 1533-position model. The record is from RNAcentral.